AUGCUAGGGAUGGGUUUUGGUGAUGAUGUUGCUGCUGUUGAUGCAGCAUCAAGCUCUCACUUUGUGCCUCUGUCAGUUAUGAUGCGUAACCACAAAGUGAGUGACAGGCCAGUCCCCGGGGAGAGCAGGGGGCCUGAGGGAGCUUUUCUGCCGGUGAAUAUUUUGAUGAAGGUUCCUAUUGAUGCGCUGAAUGAAGGACCAAAACAACAGGGCAUUGGCUCUUUUCAGAAGCGACGAGGAAGACUGACCAUCGUGAAGACAGUGCUGGGAGCAGCCAUAUCCGCUCUAAUGCUAUAGUCACUGGCCGUUAGACAUGGCGUUCAAAGACUAGCGGUGCAAGUAUGGAAAUGCAGAUAAGGCAUUGUUGAGGAAACAUGCCUGGGAAUUGUUCAAGGCUUUCCCUUGCAUAAUGUUUGGAUGCUUUCAAAAAUGUUUUAAUCUCAAAACCCAUGAAUUUGAUCCUCCAUGAAUGUGAUCCAGAACCGCCCAUAGAAUGAGUGGGUGUUUGCAUGAAAAGGGUUGUCAUGCUAUGCAAAUUAAUAAUGUUUGUGAUUACAUUUGUGAAUAUUUGACAUCUGGCAACAUUUGUUUAAAACUAUUUUUGUACAUAUUUCUCUUUUCUAGACAAUUAUAGCUAUAAUGCAUUUAUUCUUUCGAGAGUAUAAUGCCUGCAGAAGCUCAGCAUUGAUUGAAGGUCACACUUACUGCUUCAGCCAGGCCUCACUUUUCUUUUUUCUGUGCUUUAAUGGCAAUAUAUGAACUCUUUGCUUCACAUUAAGAUGCCAGAGACUUGUUUGUGUAUAAUCUUCAAGGUUUAUUUACUGUACUCUUCUUUUGCAGUUUUCAGGAGGCAGUUAAUUACACAAUUAAUACAUGAUACAAAUUAUGUACAUUUAUACCAAAGAAUACUUCCAACAUAAAAUAAAAAAUAGCGUUGUAUUCUACAACUCUGUGUUGUAAUUUUAUUUAAACAUGUUCAUAUAUAGAUAGAUAUACGCUGAUGAGUAAAUUCAUAAUGUCGUACCAGCAGUUUUCAUUAAAGGCAUUCAACUUGAAUAGUAUGCAUUUGAAGUAAUACUGCUUCUCUGAUUCAGCACAGUUCUGUUUCAUAAAAAGUUCACACUUGAACUUUAAGGCAAAGUGUGUUUCUGUUUGGUGGAUUUUAAUUCACACACACUUUUUGCAGAUACACAACAAAAACACUUUGAAAGGCAAAAAGUCCACAAUUUGGUAUGGAUACAGUCUAAAACUUAGCUCGAUCAUACUUCUGUCGAUAAAGACCAAAGUUUAUAAACACAGUUAUUUGCCCAAGUACAACAAAUUGCAGCUUUCAUGCAAAGGCCCCAUAAACUAUUUUCAUUCACAAAAAAGGAAACAAAAAGAAGUUAUUGCAAGAUAAACAAGCAGUGUAAACACCUCAGAUAUCUACUCUAAAGCAACACUGGCCAUUGGAUAGAUUUUUUUCUCAAUAUAAUCUAUAUAAAUACACAUAUGAAGUCCUUUCAACAACGAUAAGAGAUUUCCAACAUUUGUAAUACGGUCACUGAUGGAUUUGCCUUCUUUAAUGAUAAAUGGAUAUGUAAUAAAACUGUAUAUAGAGAAAGAUUUAACAAGAACAUCCUAUAACCUGCUAUUAUAGUCUAUACUCAAGAGUGCGCAGAAUGGUUGUCAUUGUCUUUAUGCUACAGAGUUGUUCUGUGACUUUAUAGGCAGCAUUAUAGCCUUCAAUUCAGUAAGCUACAAAAAGAUGAUUUAUAUUGCUAGUUAAAAACUAUAAUAGCUGCACUGAUGCAUUGGUAUAACGAAGGGAAUACGCACAUAAUAUCUGUUGAAAGACUAUGAGACGACCACAUACAUAUAAGCAAGGCCUAACUUAGCAUUUUAGUUCAGUGGCGUGUUAGAAAAAGUCGCUACCUCUCUGUCACUUAUAACAACAAACGGUUCCUGUGAUUGUUUUUUUCUUUUAAAAAACGUAUCAAAAUUCAUUGUCUGCCCAAUUAGGUCUGCAACUGACACUCAAAAAGCACCUUCCUCUGUCCGUUUUACAUUAAAACACAACCAAGGAAACCAACAAGCAUCGAAAUAAAACUCGUGUUAGCAUUUAUUUAAAUUCACAGUAGCCUGGAUGCAGCAGAAAAAUAUUCUUUGGACUUCAGUUUGUUCACUUCGCUGACAGAUCGAAACGUCAAGUGCCAGUUAGUUCAAUGUAAAAUGAUGACAAUCAUGGAUAGCAGUAGACCUAUAUAGAAAAUUAUGGGUGUAAUCAUUUGUACCUCCUGGAGGGUUGGGGGGGGGCGACAAACAAUGAAAACAUACCUUUAUACAACAUCUUCUGUAGACGUGAUAUUGCAGAAAUAUCUUUUCUUUUUU
RNAcentral lists this long non-coding RNA (2370 nucleotides) under Sander lucioperca (pikeperch). Its description in RNAcentral is "lncRNA (ENSSLUG00000014947.1)". The record is from RNAcentral. Lineage: Eukaryota; Metazoa; Chordata; Actinopteri; Perciformes; Percidae.